AUUGAACGCUGGCGGCAGGCCUAAUACAUGCAAGUCGAGCGGACGAACGGAGCUUGUUCUUGGCUUCAGCGGCGGACGGGCGAGUGAUUCCUAGGAAUCUGCCCGGCCUAGGGGGCUAACGUCCGUUAACGGGCGCUAAUACCGCACACGUUCAUAUGGUGAACGUGGGGGUUCUUUAGUCCUCGCCGUUUUUGCUGAGCCUGAGACGGAUUAGCUAGUUGGUGAGGUAAGGGCCUACCAAGGCGACGAUCCGUAACUGAUCUGAGAGGGUGAUCAGCCACACUGGAACUGAGACACGGUCCAGACUCCUACGGGAGGCAGCAGUAGGGAAUAUUGCACAAUGGGCGAAAGCCUGAUGCAGCAAUGCCGCGUGAGUGAUGAAGGUCUUCGGAUUGUAAAGCUCUGUUAUUAGGGAAGAACAACUGUGUAAGAAACCAUGCAUGUCUUGACGUUACCAACAGAGAAAGCACCGGCUAACUUCGUG
RNAcentral lists this ribosomal RNA (484 nucleotides) under uncultured bacterium. Its description in RNAcentral is "partial 16S ribosomal RNA". It matches the Rfam family "Bacterial small subunit ribosomal RNA", at positions 30 to 507 of the family's 1533-position model. The record is from RNAcentral.